This 446-nucleotide ribosomal RNA is filed under the name Myrmica americana. Its description in RNAcentral is "partial 28S ribosomal RNA". The record is from RNAcentral. Lineage: Eukaryota; Metazoa; Arthropoda; Insecta; Hymenoptera; Formicidae.
CGAACGGGGAGAUUCAUCGUCAGCGGACGCCGGCUUCGCGUCGGUCGGCGAUGUCCCGCGGGGGCCCUCGCGGCUCUCAGCGCUGGCACGCUGCCGUGCGCCGAUGUAUCCGGCUUCGCCCUCGUGCACUUCUCCCCUGGUAGAACGUCGCGACCCGCUGGGUAUCUGUCUACGGCCCGGGUGCGGUGUCUGACGCGCCGCCGGUAAAACGGCGCGCGUCAAACCCCCGGUCGCCCGGCCGGCUGCCCGGCGGUACGCGCAAGGUAUCAGGCCGCACACACAUUUGAACGGUGCGUCGAGGCCGUCGCAAGUGCGCGCCAUGGUACACGGAGGUACGGACCUAGCGCCGUCACCGGUCCUGGCCCGCUGUUGGUCGUACGGUUAACCUUCGACAGGCAUACGAACAUCCCAGCGUGGGGGUCGGGGGCUCGUCUCCCGCGCUCUCG